UACGGAGGGUGCGAGCGUUGUCCGGCUUUAUUGGGUUUAACGGGUGCGCAGGUGGCCCGGUCAGUCAGUGGUGAAAUGCGGCCGCUCAACGGUCGAACUGCCAUUGAUACUGCCUGGCUUGAGAGGAGUGGAGGCCGCCGGAACGGACGGUGUAGCGGUGAAAUGCAUAGAUAUCGUCCAGAACGACGAGUGCGAAGGCAGGUGGCGACGCUUCGUCUGACACUGAGGCACGAAAGCGUGGGGAGCGAACAGG
Molecule: ribosomal RNA, 253 nt
Filed under: uncultured bacterium
Lineage: Bacteria
Description: partial 16S ribosomal RNA
Rfam family: Bacterial small subunit ribosomal RNA
Source: RNAcentral